GAUGAAGAACGCAGCGAAAUGCGAUAAGUAAUGUGAAUUGCAGAAUUCAGUGAAUCAUCGAGUCUUUGAACGCACAUUGCGCCCCCUGGUAUUCCGGGGGGCAUGCCUGUCCGAGCGUCAUUGCCGCCCUCAAGCACGGCUUGUGUGUUGGGCCCCCGCCCCCCGGCUUCGGGGGGCGGGCCCGAAAGGCAGCGGCGGCACCGCGUCCGGUCCUCGAGCGUAUGGGGCUUCGUCACCCGCUCUGUAGGCCCGGCCGGCGCCCGCCGGCGACCCCAAUCAAUCUUUCCAGGUUGACCUCGGAUCAGGUAGGGAUACCCGCUGUACUUAAGCAUAUCAAUAAGCGGAGGA
This 348-nucleotide unclassified non-coding RNA is filed under the name soil metagenome. RNAcentral describes it as "partial contains 5.8S ribosomal RNA, internal transcribed spacer 2, and large subunit ribosomal RNA". The stretch from base 1 to 120 matches the Rfam family "5.8S ribosomal RNA", at positions 35 to 154 of the family's 154-position model. The record is from RNAcentral.